AAGGAUUUAAGUUAACCCCCCCAAACUAGUAACCUUCAAAGUUGAAAAUAGAGGAGCUCUAAGCCUUA
This 68-nucleotide transfer RNA is filed under the name Scraptia sp. SCR01. RNAcentral's name for it is "tRNA-Trp". The record is from RNAcentral. Lineage: Eukaryota; Metazoa; Arthropoda; Insecta; Coleoptera; Scraptiidae.